GGUCAGAUAAGUGGAGAUUGGUGGGGGUCCCCCGUUGCUUUUCUUAGAUAACAAUAAAUUGGCCAGAUAAGCGAACAAAAUCAAUUAAAUAACCAUCUUGCAAUUACUUACCUUAAAUACUAAUUGGACAAUUGAUCCAAAUAGGCUAGCUUAGGUGAAUCAAACUCGAGCCACAGAGCCAAAUUAGAUCCUUAGGUUAAUUGAUUCUACAUAUGGGUGUUAAUCGAUUCGAUCAACAAUAAUUGUAUGAUCUUUGGCUCUAUU
Molecule: long non-coding RNA, 264 nt
Filed under: Elaeis guineensis (African oil palm)
Lineage: Eukaryota; Viridiplantae; Streptophyta; Magnoliopsida; Arecales; Arecaceae
Description: long non-coding RNA (EGUI_LNC077566)
Source: RNAcentral